AGUGAACGCUGGCGGUAGGCCUAACACAUGCAAGUCGAACGGCAGCACAGGAGAGCUUGCUCUCUGGGUGGCGAGUGGCGGACGGGUGAGGAAUACAUCGGAAUCUACUCUGUCGUGGGGGAUAACGUAGGGAAACUUACGCUAAUACCGCAUACGACCUACGGGUGAAAGCAGGGGACCUUCGGGCCUUGCGCGAUUGAAUGAGCCGAUGUCGGAUUAGCUAGUUGGCGGGGAAAAGGCCCACCAAGGCGACGAUCCGUAGCUGGUCUGAGAGGAUGAUCAGCCACACUGGAACUGAGACACGGUCCAGACUCCUACGGGAGGCAGCAGUGGGGAAUAUUGGACAAUGGGCGCAAGCCUGAUCCAGCCAUACCGCGUGGGUGAAGAAGGCCUUCGGGUUGUAAAGCCCUUUUGUUGGGAAAGAAAUCCAGCUGGCUAAUACCCGGUUGGGAUGUCGGUACCCAAAGAAUAAGCACCGGCUAACUUCGUGCCAGCCGCCGCGGUAA
RNAcentral lists this ribosomal RNA (506 nucleotides) under uncultured bacterium. RNAcentral's name for it is "partial 16S ribosomal RNA". It matches the Rfam family "Bacterial small subunit ribosomal RNA", at positions 29 to 523 of the family's 1533-position model. The record is from RNAcentral.